RNAcentral lists this ribosomal RNA (470 nucleotides) under uncultured bacterium. RNAcentral's name for it is "bacterial SSU rRNA". It matches the Rfam family "Bacterial small subunit ribosomal RNA", at positions 335 to 802 of the family's 1533-position model. The record is from RNAcentral.
ACUCCUACGGGAGGCAGCAGUGGGGAAUAUUGCACAAUGGGGGAAACCCUGAUGCAGCCAUGCCGCGUGUGUGAAGAAGGCCUUCGGGUUGUAAAGCACUUUCAGUAGGGAGGAAGGUAGUGUAGUUAACACCUGCAUUAUUUGACGUUACCUACAGAAGAAGCACCGGCUAACUCCGUGCCAGCAGCCGCGGUAAUACGGAGGGUGCGAGCGUUAAUCGGAAUUACUGGGCGUAAAGCGCAUGCAGGCGGCCUGUUAAGUCAGAUGUGAAAGCCCGGGGCUUAACCUCGGAAUUGCAUUUGAAACUGGCAGGCUAGAGUCUUGUAGAGGGGUUAGAAUUUCAGGUGUAGCGGUGAAAUGCGUAGAGAUCUGAAGGAAUACCAGUGGCGAAGCGGCCCCUGGACAAAGACUGACGCUCAGAUGCGAAAGCGUGGGAGCAAACAGGAUUAGAUACCCCUGGUAGACUGUCA